Pan troglodytes (chimpanzee) is the source of this 150-nucleotide non-coding RNA. It matches the Rfam family "Metazoan signal recognition particle RNA". Rfam says of the family: The signal recognition particle (SRP) is a universally conserved ribonucleoprotein. It is involved in the co-translational targeting of proteins to membranes. Lineage: Eukaryota; Metazoa; Chordata; Mammalia; Primates; Hominidae. The record is from Rfam.
GCUGGGUGUGGUGGCGCACACCUGUAAUCCCAGUUACUCAGGAGGCUGAGGCAGGAGAAUCGCUUGUACCCGGGAGGCAGAGGUUGCAGUGAACCAAGAUUGUGCCUCUGCAGUCCAGCCUGGGUAACAGAGUGAGACUUCCUGUCUCAA